AUUGAACGCUGGCGGCAUGCCUUACACAUGCAAGUCGAACGGCAGCACGGGUGCUUGCACCUGGUGGCGAGUGGCGAACGGGUGAGUAAUACAUCGGAACAUGUCCUGUAGUGGGGGAUAGCCCGGCGAAAGCCGGAUUAAUACCGCAUACGAUCUACGGAUGAAAGCGGGGGACCUUCGGGCCUCGCGCUAUAGGGUUGGCCGAUGGCUGAUUAGCUAGUUGGUGGUGUACAGGCCUACCAAGGCGACGAGCAGUAGCUGGUCUGAGAGGACGACCAGCCACACUGGGACUGAGACACGGCCCAGACUCCUACGGGAGGCAGCAGUGGGGAAUUUUGGACAAUGGGCGAAAGCCUGAUCCAGCAAUGCCGCGUGUGUGAAGAAGGCCUUCGGGUUGUAAAGCACUUUUGUCCGGAAAGAAAUCCUUGGCCCUAAUACGGUCGGGGGAUGACGGUACCGGAAGAAUAAGCACCGGCUAACUACGUG
This 486-nucleotide ribosomal RNA is filed under the name uncultured bacterium. Its description in RNAcentral is "partial 16S ribosomal RNA". It matches the Rfam family "Bacterial small subunit ribosomal RNA", at positions 30 to 507 of the family's 1533-position model. The record is from RNAcentral.